Molecule: long non-coding RNA, 372 nt
Filed under: Musa acuminata (dwarf banana)
Lineage: Eukaryota; Viridiplantae; Streptophyta; Magnoliopsida; Zingiberales; Musaceae
Description: long non-coding RNA (MACU_LNC005614)
Source: RNAcentral
ACGCAGCGGGUAGAUGGUCUCUUCUCGGAGCAACAGCCUUGGUCACCGGCGGCACCAAAGGAAUCGGGUACUAACUACUAUUGCUAUUACCGCUGCUGCACAAAGAGCGUGCAUAGAAUCUGCUAUGUUCUUUGCUGCAUGAUUGACCUAAAGAUGCACAUCGUUGACCUUUCAGGCAUGGCAUAGUGGAAGAAUUAGCGAGGCUCGGAGCAGCCGUCCAUACCUGCUCUCGGAAUGAAGCCGAUCUCAACAAAUGCUUGCAGAAAUGGGAGGCGGAGGGGUUCAAGGUCACGGGAUCCAUCUGCGAUGUCUCAUCUCCAGAUGAGAGAGAGAAGCUCAUGGAGAAAGUUAGGUCCACCUUCGACGGAAGGC